UUUCCGUAGGUGAACCUGCGGAAGGAUCAUUACUGAAGGGAGUCUUCAUCAUCGAAGCUUCUUCCCAUUGUGCUGGCUUUGACCGUAUGUAAUGUUGGGGAUUAAACAUGGUUGAAAUUUAUUUUAGCCGUCCCCAACAAUUUAUCUUAUCCUUUAUUAAAUUGAACUGAACUCAGUUUGAGACUACAUAAAAAAUAAGCUUGUAAUACAACUUUCAACAACGGAUCUCUUGGUUCUG
Molecule: unclassified non-coding RNA, 238 nt
Filed under: plant metagenome
Description: partial contains small subunit ribosomal RNA, internal transcribed spacer 1, and 5.8S ribosomal RNA
Source: RNAcentral